AAUCAGUAUGUCUCUGUAAUGACUUGAAGACAAAUGUUCGUAGUUAUUACAUAUGUAAUGGCUGAAACCUAGAAACAAUCUAAAUUACUAUCAACAAUUAUGAUGGACCCAUGUGAUGAAAUAGCACUCAACAAUGAAAAGGAGUGUGUGUGUGUGUGUGUGUGUGUGUGUGUGUGUGUGUGUGUGUGUGUGUGUGUUUGUGUGUGUGUACGUGCGCAUGAGUAUCUGUGACAAUAUGGAUCCAACUAGAUAAAAAUUAAUAUACACUAUAUCAUUGUAUUUAUACAAAACUUUCAUAGAAAUACAAACUAAUUCAAGUGAUAGAAAACAAAAUAGUUGCUGUCAGUACUAGUGGAGGAAGGGAAUAUAGUAGGGCCAUUUGAAUAGGGAACACAUGUAAUAUUUGCGGAUGGUGACCAUGUUCACUAUCCUAAUUGGGCUGGUAGGUUUGGGGUGUGAUACAUGUUAAAAAUUCUCAAACUAUACACUUUAAACAUGUACAAUGUUUUUAUUAUUUGGCUUUGGUCCUGGGGACUGAACCCAAGGCCUCACAUCACUAGGUUAGUGUUCUGUCAGUGAGCUAUUUCCAUCUCCCUCUUUUGGUUUGAAUUUUAAUUUUGAGACAAGGUCUAACUAAUUUGUGUAGAUUGAGCUUGAACUCAACAUGUAGUUCAGGUGGUCUUGAACUUGUUACCCUCAUGUCUUAACCUCCUGAAUGCAGUCAGGCUUAUCUUCCCAGUGAGGGAGGUGUACUGGAUGUCCUUUGGCUCUGGAAUUUCAUUAGCUUCUAGGCUUCUGUUAGAUUGGCUGCUUUCAGUGUCUUUGGUGCCAGAUUCUUGGGCAUACAUUUGGUGUCACAAAAAACACUCUAGGGAGUUGUGUUUUGCUACUAGCAGGAAGUAUUGUUUGUACUUCACACAAGACUACAUUCUACUUCAGAGGAAAUGGGAUCAAAUUACAUUUUGCCAAUUACAUAGGGGAUUGUUUCUGGAAGUCUGGGAUAACAACAUUAUAUUUCUGAUUGACUCUAGAAUGUUUUAAAAGGUCAUUACAGCUGGCUGUUACUUGGUAGCCUACCCUUUACUCCAGUUUUGGGAUAGUCAAGUACUAACAAUGUGACCAGACUUGCAUUCAGAGAACUAGAGUAUAAUGAAACGGUAAUUUAUAGGGUUUCUGCAUUGAAAUUAUACCUUGCACUAAGUGUGUGUGUCUGGCCUCUCUACAUUUUUGAUAUCUUUCAUUUUCUCACAACACAACAAUGAAUGAAUGUGGAAUGAAGAAGAGCAUGGUGCUCUCCAUAUGACAUCAAAGGUGCCAUUGUCAAGCUCAGUAGCCCCCCUCCACUCUUGCGAGUCUUCUUUAACCCACCCUGAAGGGCAAUAGUGUCUCAUUAAUGAUUUGUUGACUUGUAACUAAGUUAGUUUUAUUUUUGUGUGAGAUUCAAGUAGACUGACAUCUAGGUCAGCUUUAACGACUGCUAUAUAUAUUUUUCUUUACCCAUUAAGAAUAUGCUUAACAACCACAAAUAAUAGCAUUGAGUUUAUCUUCCAUCCCCACCCCCUUCUUUGGGUGUUUGUCAGGCAAACUAAUAGCUCAUGUCUGCAUUCCAUUGUGAUUUAUAGUAGCAGCAUAGCUUCUGAUUUGGGAAAGGCAGAUGCUGAUUUAUGACAUGGAUAAAAAUGGUCAAAACCCAGUUAUAACAAAUGAAUCAUGGUGAGCCUGACUAGGAAUUCAGAUGUGUUUAAUUAGAUGUUGAAUACUGAGAAAUUAAUGAUAACUGAUAGGCAACAGAGGAAGGAGGAGGCUGGUGCCUCAGUUUACUCUUGGCUCUAAUGAAUACUACAUGAAACAUUAACCUCUUUUUAUAUCUCCGCCUUUUAGUCAAGACAACACAACUGUGAAGGCUGACAGCUGAAUAGAGAACUACCAGCUGAGGAAGCCACAAAGCUUAUCUGGGAAGAGCUUCCGGGUGAAUGUUCCAAAGAUCAGACUGUGUCCAUUAAUACUGAACUAAGGAAGACUUGAGAACUUUCUGUUUAAGUGAAGAACUGAGUGAGUGGGCUUCAUAGGAGCUAAGCUCCAGCCAGCAUUUAUGAUUGGGAGACUGCCUUUAUGAUUUAAACUCUGGGCUCAGAAUAUAUGUGCAUAGUCAACACAGAAUUUGACCUAAGUGAACAUAGUCUUAAAGUUGCUUAAUUUUUAUUCUUUGUGUGUGUGUG
This 2219-nucleotide long non-coding RNA is filed under the name Cricetulus griseus (Chinese hamster). RNAcentral's name for it is "lncRNA (ENSCGRG00015030217.1)". The record is from RNAcentral. Lineage: Eukaryota; Metazoa; Chordata; Mammalia; Rodentia; Cricetidae.